UACGUAGGGUGCAAGCGUUGUCCGGAAUUAUUGGGCGUAAAGGGCGCGUAGGCGGGGAUAUAAGUCAGACGUGAAAUCCCGGGGCUCAACCCCGGAACAGCAUUUGAAACUAUAUCUCUUGAGGGUAGGCGGAGAAAACGGAAUUCCACAAGUAGCGGUGAAAUGCGUAGAUAUGUGGAAGAACACCGGUGGCGAAGGCGGUUUUCUAGCUUAUUCCUGACGCUAAAGCGCGAAAGCAAGGGGAUCAAACAGG
Molecule: ribosomal RNA, 253 nt
Filed under: uncultured bacterium
Lineage: Bacteria
Description: partial 16S ribosomal RNA
Rfam family: Bacterial small subunit ribosomal RNA
Source: RNAcentral